CCUACGGGGCGCAGCAGUGGGGAAUAUUGCGCAAUGGGGGAAACCCUGACGCAGCAACGCCGCGUGCGGGAUGAAGGCUUUCGGGAUGUAAACCGCUUUCAGCAGGGAAGAUAGUGACGGUACCUGCAGAAGAAGCCCCGGCUAAAUACGUGCCAGCAGCCGCGGUAAUGCGUAUGGGGCAAGCGUUAUCCGGAUUCAUUGGGCGUAAAGCGCGCGCAGGCGGCCUGCUAAGCCUGACCUCUAAUACCGGGGCUCAACCCCGGGCCGGCAU
Molecule: ribosomal RNA, 271 nt
Filed under: uncultured bacterium
Lineage: Bacteria
Description: partial 16S ribosomal RNA
Rfam family: Bacterial small subunit ribosomal RNA
Source: RNAcentral